This 779-nucleotide ribosomal RNA is filed under the name Bacillus sp. (in: firmicutes). RNAcentral's name for it is "bacterial SSU rRNA". It matches the Rfam family "Bacterial small subunit ribosomal RNA", at positions 48 to 808 of the family's 1533-position model. Lineage: Bacteria; Bacillati; Bacillota; Bacilli; Caryophanales; Bacillaceae. The record is from RNAcentral.
GCUAUACAUGCAAGUCGAGCGAGACAGAAGGGAGCUUGCUCCCGGAUGUUAGCGGCGGACGGGUGAGUAACACGUGGGUAACCUGCCUGUAAGACUGGGAUAACUCCGGGAAACCGGAGCUAAUACCGGAUAGUUCCUUGAACCGCAUGGUUCAAGGAUGAAAGACGGUUUCGGCUGUCACUUACAGAUGGACCCGCGGCGCAUUAGCUAGUUGGUGGGGUAAUGGCUCACCAAGGCGACGAUGCGUAGCCGACCUGAGAGGGUGAUCGGCCACACUGGGACUGAGACACGGCCCAGACUCCUACGGGAGGCAGCAGUAGGGAAUCUUCCGCAAUGGACGAAAGUCUGACGGAGCAACGCCGCGUGAGUGAUGAAGGUUUUCGGAUCGUAAAGCUCUGUUGUUAGGGAAGAACAAGUGCGAGAGUAACUGCUCGCACCUUGACGGUACCUAACCAGAAAGCCACGGCUAACUACGUGCCAGCAGCCGCGGUAAUACGUAGGUGGCAAGCGUUGUCCGGAAUUAUUGGGCGUAAAGGGCUCGCAGGCGGUUUCUUAAGUCUGAUGUGAAAGCCCCCGGCUCAACCGGGGAGGGUCAUUGGAGACUGGGAAACUUGAGUGCAGAAGAGGAGAGUGGAAUUCCACGUGUAGCGGUGAAAUGCGUAGAGAUGUGGAGGAACACCAGUGGCGAAAGCCACUCUCUGGUCUGUAACUGACGCUCAUGAGCGAAAGCGUGGGGAAGCGAACAGGAUUAGAUACCCUGGGAGUCCACGCCGUAUACG